Molecule: ribosomal RNA, 254 nt
Filed under: uncultured bacterium
Lineage: Bacteria
Description: partial 16S ribosomal RNA
Rfam family: Bacterial small subunit ribosomal RNA
Source: RNAcentral
UACGUAGGGGGCAAGCGUUGUCCGGAUUUAUUGGGCGUAAAGAGCUCGUAGGUGGUUCGGUAAGUCGGAUGUGAAAUCUCCAGGCUCAACCUGGAGGGGUCAUUCGAUACUGCCGUGACUAGAGGUCGGUAGGGGAGUGUGGAAUUCCUGGUGGAGCGGUGAAAUGCGCAGAUAUCGGGAGGAACACCAGUGGCGAAGGCGGUUACCUGGAGCUUUGCUGACGCUGAUGCGCGAAAGCGUGGGGAGCGAUCCGG